AUGCUCACUUCAGCAGCACCUAUGCUGAAAUUGGAACAAUACAGAGAAGAUUAUUAGCAUGGUGCCUGAGCAAGGAUGAUAAGCAAAAAAGAUAUUUCUCCUUUACUUCU
This is a small nuclear RNA of Phyllostomus discolor (pale spear-nosed bat), 110 nucleotides long. The record is from RefSeq and is a predicted model, not a curated record. Lineage: Eukaryota; Metazoa; Chordata; Mammalia; Chiroptera; Phyllostomidae.